GGAAAAAUAUUGUGAUUUUGUUGUCCCAUAGAUGGAUGGAGAUCCCAUAUAGCUUUUGAUUAUUGAGAUUUUAAUGGAUCUAUAGUUUUGAUUCCAGUUUUUUUGAUGAGAAGUGUCCAGCCCUUAUUUGAGAAGAAAUGUUAAAUAAUUAUUGAUUGUGUGCCUUCACAAUGAGGUUUUUCUACAGAUUUUUCUACGUAUUUUUCUCAGCAUUUUUCCACGUAUUUUUCUUCAAGUAUUUCUAGACAUUUUUCUGCAAGUUGUUCUGCAUAUUUUUCUAGAAGUUUAUGCCAAGUUUUUCCACAAGUUUUUCUUACGUGUUCAGUCACCGAAGUAAUCAGUAGCAGCCUGUUCGGUUAGAUUUCA
Molecule: long non-coding RNA, 366 nt
Organism: Sitophilus oryzae (rice weevil)
Lineage: Eukaryota; Metazoa; Arthropoda; Insecta; Coleoptera; Curculionidae
Exons: 3
Source: RefSeq, a predicted model, not a curated record